RNAcentral lists this ribosomal RNA (465 nucleotides) under Vreelandella stevensii. Its description in RNAcentral is "partial 16S ribosomal RNA". It matches the Rfam family "Bacterial small subunit ribosomal RNA", at positions 338 to 795 of the family's 1533-position model. The record is from RNAcentral. Lineage: Bacteria; Pseudomonadati; Pseudomonadota; Gammaproteobacteria; Oceanospirillales; Halomonadaceae.
CCUACGGGGGGCUGCAGUGGGGAAUAUUGGACAAUAGGGGCAACCCUGAUCCAGCCAUGCCGCGUGUGUGAAGAAGGCCCUCGGGUUGUAAAGCACUUUCAGUGAGGAAGAACGCCUGGUGGUUAAUACCCAUCAGGAAAGACAUCACUCACAGAAGAAGCACCGGCUAACUCCGUGCCAGCAGCCGCGGUAAUACGGAGGGUGCGAGCGUUAAUCGGAAUUACUGGGCGUAAAGCGCGCGUAGGUGGCUUGAUAAGCCGGUUGUGAAAGCCCCGGGCUCAACCUGGGAACGGCAUCCGGAACUGUCAAGCUAGAGUGCAGGAGAGGAAGGUAGAAUUCCCGGUGUAGCGGUGAAAUGCGUAGAGAUCGGGAGGAAUACCAGUGGCGAAGGCGGCCUUCUGGACUGACACUGACACUGAGGUGCGAAAGCGUGGGUAGCAAACAGGAUUAGAUACCCGUGUAGUC